GACGAAGGAUGCAAUCGUUAUCCGGAUUCAUUGGGUUUAAAGGGAGCGUAGGCGGCCCUGUAAGUCAGUGGUGAAAUCUUUGGGCUUAACCCAAAAAUUGCCAUUGAUACUGCAGGGCUUGAGUACAGUUGCCGUUGGCGGAAUAUGACAUGUAGUGGUGAAAUACAUAGAGAUGUCAUAGAACACCGAUUGCGAAGGCAGCUAACGAAACUGUAACUGACGCUGAGGCUCGAAAGUGCGGGGAUCAAACAGG
Molecule: ribosomal RNA, 253 nt
Filed under: uncultured bacterium
Lineage: Bacteria
Description: partial 16S ribosomal RNA
Rfam family: Bacterial small subunit ribosomal RNA
Source: RNAcentral